CAUCCUCAGUUUUACUCCAGGGCCUCUCUGAACCAUGAAAUGACCUGGCAUUGCCUGAGGGUACUUUAAAACCUUACUCAAUCCCCUCCCCAACAGGUAUUCUGAGUUUCCUUUGGAGUCUACAGGUUGAGCAAACAUA
Molecule: small nucleolar RNA, 139 nt
Filed under: Pogona vitticeps (central bearded dragon)
Lineage: Eukaryota; Metazoa; Chordata; Lepidosauria; Squamata; Agamidae
Description: Small nucleolar RNA SNORA49 (ENSPVIG00000017680.1)
Rfam family: Small nucleolar RNA SNORA49
About the family: The snoRNA ACA49 has no identified RNA target.
Source: Rfam by way of RNAcentral